This is a long non-coding RNA of Megalopta genalis, 1024 nucleotides long. RefSeq lists it as uncharacterized. Lineage: Eukaryota; Metazoa; Arthropoda; Insecta; Hymenoptera; Halictidae. The record is from RefSeq and is a predicted model, not a curated record.
GUGAAUAUUCACAUUUUCUUACAGGUUAGCCGUGAAAGAUAAUUGGCGAGACACUCGAGGUGCGAGUCGGUCGACGAAAGUGUUGCGCCUGCGCAGAUCUGUCGGACAGUUUAGAACCGGUUCAAACGCGGCUCCCUCGGAAAAAUCAUGUAAUUUAAUAUGACGUAUAAUUUUGGAUUGGAACCUCGCAGACAAAGUAUUUCUAUCGAGAUUCAAAUUAUCUUUGAUUGCCAUGGGACACUCGUACGAUGACUUUUAGCGACGGGUUUUCAACAGACAGAUCGAGAGAUCGGCGCGUGCAACUAAGACACUCUUUGGCGGCGCCAUUUUGAAUUGUUGUAGUGCUCAAGAGUUUGUGAAUCGUGGGUGCUGCGUCAUGGACGAUUUUGCUGAAUUUUCCGGACCAGUGGCGUGCAAGAUAUUCUGCACUAGAGAAGGAUUGUCGAGCGAUAGAACACGGGCUGCCACGGGGAUUCAUUGUCAGCGGACUCGACGCGCUAUUCGGAACAAAGCGGUCCUUCUGCGGCCGGAUAAUUGCAAAUUCCAUUUCGACGAAGCAAAACCACGGUUGCAAUGCAGUACGCCCGUCGUGGAAGCGCAUUAGCGAUCAGGCUGAUUGCACUUUUACCUAGAACGGUGACGGUGUUCUCAGGGAGCCUGUUAAGGAACGCGGAAGUAGCAUGCUAAAGUGGAGAAUUCAAAUUGGCUCUGGCUUCGGUCGGCGCAAUAUCUUAUUACUAUUUUCGCGAUCCGCUAUUCAACGUUAUUUUCGUGCGACGUUCCCGGGAUUAGAUUGUUUCGAGCCCCUCGAGCUACUGCACAAAACGUUUCGGAACCACAGAUACCACCCUAGAUAUCUAUCCGGUCGAGGGACACGUUUUGAGAGAUAUUCCCCGUAUUUAUUCUUGCUCAACACUCGACAUAUAUUUUUUUAUCCGUUCUCUAGGGUUCGAACUGCGAUUGUUUCACAUUAAUGUAUCAGUUUUUCUUGUAGAAUACACGAUUGCAGAUUGUAUUGUUCAGA